CUCGUAGACUCCUACGGGAGGCAGCAGUGGGGAAUAUUGCACAAUGGGGGAAACCCUGAUGCAGCCAUGCCGCGUGUGUGAAGAAGGCCUUCGGGUUGUAAAGCACUUUCAGUAGGGAGGAAGGUAGUGUAGUUAACACCUGCAUUAUUUGACGUUACCUACAGAAGAAGCACCGGCUAACUCCGUGCCAGCAGCCGCGGUAAUACGGAGGGUGCGAGCGUUAAUCGGAAUUACUGGGCGUAAAGCGCAUGCAGGCGGCCUGUUAAGUCAGAUGUGAAAGCCCCGGGGCUUAACCUCGGAAUUGCAUUUGAAACUGGCAGGCUAGAGUCUUGUAGAGGGGGUAGAAUUUCAGGUGUAGCGGUGAAAUGCGUAGAGAUCUGAAGGAAUACCAGUGGCGAAGGCGGCCCCCUGGACAAAGACUGACGCUCAGAUGCGAAAGCGUGGGGAGCAAACAGGAUUAGAUACCCUGGUAG
This 473-nucleotide ribosomal RNA is filed under the name uncultured bacterium. RNAcentral's name for it is "bacterial SSU rRNA". It matches the Rfam family "Bacterial small subunit ribosomal RNA", at positions 328 to 793 of the family's 1533-position model. The record is from RNAcentral.